This is a long non-coding RNA of Hylaeus anthracinus, 8223 nucleotides long. RefSeq lists it as uncharacterized. The record is from RefSeq and is a predicted model, not a curated record. The transcript has 3 exons. Lineage: Eukaryota; Metazoa; Arthropoda; Insecta; Hymenoptera; Colletidae.
CGAUCACUGAGACGCGCGAACUCGGACUCUUUGCUCCAGCCGAUUGUCGGGCAGAUUCAUCACAGAAAAUAUUCGAACUUGAUCGAAAUUCGAUUAGGAACAGUCUCGUACACCUCUCUAAAAGUAAAUCGUGGUGAAUUGGUACCGAGGCAACGCGAUUCGGAAGGAGGAGAGAAGAUACGAGGAACUCUGACGAAAGGGCUGGAUGGUCCGGAGUGUACGAAAAUCCUGUCGCUAAAGAGGAUAUCGAGAGUUAUCAGCUGCGAGGCGUCUCGUCUGUUACUCGACGGUACGCUAGUUUGAAGACGGAAAAUAUCGACGAAUCGGAGUUAAUUUUCGUACGCGCACCGAAACGAAAUCGUCUCGAUCGGAAACACUCGACUACCCUGACAAACGAGCACGUGGGGGCGAGGGAACCCAAACACACGCCCACGCAAAAUUCUCGCUAGACAAGACCACGGCUACGGAAAGGCACGCAUAGUUUUCCCUUUCGUUCGAGAUCGAGACGUGACGACCCUUCCCUCGGUCACUGGAGAACGAUACCGUUCGAAUAAAAAUUAGGAACCUUGUCUCUCCGUUAAUUAAACGCCCCUCGAUACGUGCACGACAAUUUCCUUUGUUUCGUACAACGCAAACUCUCGAUAGCCUGUCCUAUCGAGAAUCUAAAGGUCAUUUUCACCGGUGAACACGUCCUUUAUAACUUUUCCAAAGCGAGAUCCGUGUCAAAGGUAGGUUGUUAAAUGUUUCCCGUCGGUCGAUCGACCAAUUAAUUUGAAAUAUUUGUAAAACGAAUCCAGUGGACCCGCAAGCGUCGCACGACUGUGGCAAGUACACCGUCAUCGUCCUAGUUUUCAUACAGUGCAUUCGAUUGAGCGAACUGGUCACCGUUUUCAUAGUGCGACGCGAACUGCGCGAAAUUUGGAAGAGAUGAGUCGCUAAUACACGAUCCGCAAUAUUCCCAAAAUUUUCGAUACGGUGGCGCAACUUAUCGAUUCUUGCGAUAAAAUUCCAUCAGCUAAUUUAAUGUUUUGAAAUUCGUAAGAAUUCUUGUCUUUGGUACCAGUGAAUUUUUGCGAACAUAGUUAUUGUUAAAAGUAGAGUCCAUUUAAAAAGUAGAAUGCGCGUCUCCUGUUCUGGGAAUUUCCAGUGGUACUCUACAUAAAGGGGCUCGUCGACUCUGACGAUAGCGAACAAAAAUGUUGUUCCUAUCGCCAAUGGUCCCCCGAGGAACCAGCUCGUGACUAUUUACGUGGCUCCCUGAAUACGAUAGUAGCGUCAGAGCGAGUUUGGACCAUCGGAUCGAAGAUAAAGCAAGGAGUGCGUUACUUGAAGCGUUUAUCGCAAAGCAAUUUUCACGGUGGUCGUUUAGCAUCGUUUAUUCGAUCAAAGUAUGGUGGGCUAGUUGUCCUCGUCAUCCUGCACCUUCUAACAACACCCUUUAUCCCUUGACAGUCCUAUGCCACGACCCUCCUGUACCCCUCUUUUCCUUGGAAUGCACGUCACCUCGGGGGAGGUGAUGACGUCAGUAGAAUGCGGCCACAGGAUUGGCUCGUACCUCACUGACGUCAUAGGGGCUGACUCUAUACAUGCGCCUGUACCCCCAACCCCUAACUCUUCUCAUGCUGGCUGCAAUAGGCAUCGAGAAAUGGUGCAUGACAGUUCAAAGCCCCAGUUUCCCAAGGCUGUGCAAACCGAGAGGUCGCCGUACGUUUCACCUUCUUCGCCUCCCUGUUAUUUCUUCCUUUCCCGCUUCUGCGUUUCUUUAUUCUCGCUCCUACCUCCGCCAGCACCGCAUCCCCCGUUUCUUUUUCCGUCGUGGACGUUUCGCAAUUCUAUCUCAUUUCAUCUUGCUAAAAGAUUCACACGCUCUUCUUAACUAAAUUCUCUGGAAAUCUUCAUUGAAUCUUCUUACAUCGACUCUUCAUCGACAUUUCGAUCGACCCCCCAUUCGAGCAAGAUCCGCGCUCGCUUCGAAUAACCCAGGAUACACUUUCGUCGGCGAGGUUUCCUUCGAAAUCAUCGCUACAAACGCUCCAAGGGAAAGUGAUCUUCAAGAAUCCUAUUCCCUGACCGUAGUGUCUUCGUUUCGCGAGUGAUAACGUACCGCGAGUGAUGGGAAAGGCACUUCUGACGAAGAUGUGCGUGGAUUCGCCGCGUUCCCCGUGGUCCUCCUAGUUGCAUCGCAGAUCGGAUCCGUUCGCAUUUACAUCCUUGGUUGUGUGGCAUCGAGUUUCAUAAAUAAAGCCCCAUUGAAGAGGAGCUCACAGGGGAUGGAGUAGCAUGACCCGGUGACCCAGAUUUCCCAUGACUUGCGUCAUUCACAAUCUCUCCCCACCAAGGGGUACGGCAACGACACGCAUCUAAAAUAGAGAGGGAAAGAGGAUAAGUGAAAGGGACGGGAUCAGACCGAUUGCGAGCGAGCGGGAAGAUGACAAACAGCGUGGUGCAUUUCCUGCUGAGCAACCUCCGUUUUCGGUUACCACUUUCGGUCUUCUUUCAAGGCCGUGAAGCUGCGUCCGGUCGUCGGAGAACGCGAUCGAUCGAUAUCGACAGUGCGUAUUCGCGAGGAACAGUGUCUCAGUGUCCCCGCGUUCUCGUUUGAUCCAUCGCCAAAGCUGGUAGACUCGUUUGCAACAAUUUCCUUUAACGGUGACGAUAUCGCGAGGUAAUUCCAUCGAGAAUCUCUGCUCGAGAAUUUCUGCUUUUUUCCCUUGGAAUCGACCAUUGUGCGCGGCCAGCCGUAGAAAUCUUCUCAAAGAUCGAAGUCGUUGCACUUCUGCCAAAAUGUCCAAGCACCAUGGCUAUGCUGUUGCCUGGCAACCAUCUUGGGUCAAUGGAAUACGCGUUCAUGGGAGAAACUGGGUCAACCCACGAGAUGUUCUAGGUAUCUCCUUAAGUUCUUCCGCUGAAAAGAUUCGCGAUGCUCCUCGUCCUAGACGCGGUAACCGAGCCUUCAAUUUUUUCCGCGCCGCAUUUUCCCGUCGAACAAUGGCCCCCUGAAUUUGAGAGAAUCGCUCCCUCGCAAGAGCCAUGCAUUUUUCAUUGAUCGUAUCAUGCUCGAAGGUAAAUCGUUAAAAUUUCCACACUUCUAGAUUGUAUCCCUCGAUGUCAAAUUUUCAUUCUAUAGCGCAAAAGUAUCCUUGAAAUACUCGAAGAGAUGUCAGAGCAAGUUCGAAAUCGCUCGAGUAACUUUUGCUUCUAUCGUUGAAGUCUCCCGUCGUUGAAAAUCUUGGACAAGCCGCCCUUGGCUCGCCUUCUACUGACCCGAAUAUCUAUGCAUUAAACGGGGCGCUAUUUUUAGAACCACCCCCGAUGAAUGACCCCGACGAGCGCGGCGCAAAGAAGUUUGGCUCUAAACGCGAGGAAUCGAGAAAUUGGACAUUCUAUUCUUAUCUACUCACAACAAUUUGGGAAAUUAAACUAUUCGCCGCAUAGAGUGACAGUCGAAAAAACAUUCUCGAUCCGUGACACCUGAAAUGCGGUACUAGUUCGUCUUUAAAGCGUGUCAAUUGACCUUUAGAAUGCGCCAAGCACGCUCGUACUAUUUAUAACUUGGAAAUUUCACAUUUCAGUUUGUACACCGUGCUAUUAAUACCUCGCUCGAACCGGUAAUAUGUCAUGAAUUUUUCACGAUUAAAACACGAAGAUUGCUCGCCAUCCCUCGGUCUCUCAUACUUUCCUCGUCCCAGUUUCUCUACAUCGUCAGCCUCCCUCUUCGUGGCUCUGAUCGAAACGAGUUCACUGCCCUGGUAUAGUUUACUUUCUUUACAGUUUUCGUUGACGUCAUAUAAACUAUCUACGUCAUCGACGCGACGCUAUCGACAACAUUGCGGAUCAAAACGACGCUGUAUGUUUUUCUCGAAACACGCUGAACGCGAUUCAUCGAUCUCGCGAGAAAUCGAUACGUGUCCCCGCACGUAGAAUCGUUCGACGAAGUGGCAAGUUAAAAAAUUGAGUAAGUAAUACACGCCUAUGUAUAUCGAAUGUCAUUCUAAAUUGUAUCGAGAAGUAUAUUAAAAGAAAGUUCGAUUCGUCGUUGGGGAAAACUUAGUGUAGGAUAAACGCGAGUUAUCGCAGCGAGUAGCAUAGGGUUAAAGGUAGGAAGGUGAGAAACUGCAGUACCGAGGAAGGUCGAUAAAAGCAUGACACAUCUGUAACCGUGGCGCAAGGGUUGGUAAGGGGAAACAGGUGGUUUGGUGACCAUUGGUAAGGCUGGAAAGAACCACCUGGAAGCAUAGUAGAGAGACUUCGAAGUCUGAUCUGCAAAGGGUUCUGGUAUUCGAAGGGCCAUUGUCGGUGCGCUGCGUGACUUGUCUGACCGAGCACGGAACUCCUCUACUGCGAUUCCAAUGUCCCACAUACGAAUAAAAAUUUUGUUGAAUACUUCGUACCGACUACAAUUAACUGAGAUAGUGUUUCAUCAUGUAGCCUUCUAUUAAUCAUCUCUUUAUAGCAAUUAACUUAACAGAGAUCUAUAAUCGUAGAAAUCAAUGUUUCUAAACUAGGGGUCGUAAUUGUGCCUUUAUGAUUAGAUAAGAAUUCGCCUUAUUUCGUGGCUAUUAUUGUAAUUCACGAUUGUUCAGCAUUAUAGACGAUCAAGGGCAAUAAGAUUCAUCAAGCAAUAUUAUCGAGCACAAAAAUUUUUCUAAUUCCGAUAGUAAUACAUCGAGAUAUGUUAACAUUUUGAUGGUAUAUCCAAACACGCACAGUUUUCUACUAUUACCAUACAUCAAUCGUUUCUUGAUCUACUGCUACUUCAUAUUUAAUCAAACGAUGGACGUAUACAUGUAAGCAAUCGCAAAGCAUUGCUUUCGUUUCGUAAAGAAAACAUUUCAACGUUUGUUGGAACGUAUACCAUUGUACAAGAGUAAUUAACUGUACUCCUUUCUUUAAUUUACAAUCGACUACAGUUAAUUGCUUUUUGACCAACAAUUAGGGAAAGACGUAUACCGGAUAUUUUGAAAUGGAAGUCGUAAAAACGAGCGGAAUCUCGGUUAGAGCCGAAAAAAUUUUAAUUCACAGUAGAACUCCAUUUUUCUACGCCAAUGAGAUUGACAAGGCUUCGCGUGGGGCGGAUGAGAUUAAUCCCGUUUACCUCAAGCAGAUUUAAGGCUUCUUAUGCAACAUCACGCGCGUACAUACGUAUGCACCGACUAUGUUUCUACGUACACCGUUCACCUGUCCUUCUGCAAAAGGGAAAUACAUUUCUUUCGAUCAAAUUAGCGAAAUUGCUGCGAUUAACGUGGAUAACCGUUGUAUUCUCCAUUAGAAUAUUAGAAGAAAUAUACAUUCUAAAAAUGUAAUUCCCUAGCAGUGGUCACGUUAUUUAGAUAAAUUACGAAAUGGAAUAGUGGUAGUAGACUUAUUAAUAGACGCAAUGAUAUAUCACCGUUCAGGCAAUUUUAAUACAUCGAAAUAUCAUCGAAGAGAGAAGUACGACUCAAAUUGUAAAAAUAUGUAGCUCUCGAGACAAGUUAUUAGCUAUCACGAACCUACGCGUUUUAAUGUUCUGAAACUAUGGAUAGCAGAAAGCGGCACAAGCGAAACGUCUUUUCCAAGGGCCUAGGGUUUGAAAUCCCAACUGGCAUCCACCCUUCUGACACGUAACACCAAUCUGACGCUGCGGCGAUCGGUUGUCCACGCACUGUAUCGCGUAACAAAUUCCUCGUACAAUGGCGUCAGUAGCAUUAUUUUUCUACAGACAAAAUAUUGUAUUUCGUUACGUCGUCUAUAGAGAUCUCACCGACCAUCCUCGAAGACGUAAGCUCUCAAAACUUGACUAUAUCGCUACUUCGUCACAUCGGGAAGAAGACGCAGCGAAGGAGGAUGGAUAAUACAUAGGAAAGCCGUCUUAUGUUUCUGUUUUAUUUCAUCGUACAAUUGCGAUAUGAAAUAUGACAUAAACUUAAGGUGGGUACCUAUAUGAUCGACGAACCAACACGAUCGACGUGGGACCGCCACUUUUCACGACGAGAAUUACAAUGGAAGAUCGAAUUCUGUGAGUCAAAAAAACAAGCGGUGUCCAGAAAGGUACUUUCCAAUUUCACGAAUUUAUUUCUAUUUACUAAUUAAUCGCAUUCAAUAUUUCUAAAGGGUUGUCUAAAGGACUCUUUACCAUCGAAAUGCUCACUGAGCACAGACAUUGUUCCAUACAAAUUAUGUAAAAGUCGUUGAUUUAAUCUACUGAAUCGGAAAAUACCUUUACGAACACCCCGUAUGGAACUGCUGACGAAUGACUAAAAGAAUCGUCUCUAAACUUUUUCGUGGACGAGGUAUUACCGUUACGUUUACUCUAGUUAAUCUAAAAUUAAGUUGUAUGCAUUGAACUUGACUGAAUUAGACUUUUCACUUGAGUAUAAAAUACUAUUCAAACGAAGGCUCUAACCACACGAAAUGCUUGCAAAACGGGAGUCUCCUGAUGGGAAGUCUUAAAACGUGUUUUUGUAUAUACAUAACUACACUGCGGAUCUUUAUGCAAAAUAAAAUCUUCGCGAACGAACGUGCCUACAAACAUUGAACCUAUGUAAGAAUUUAUUUUAUUCAGCUAAUAUUAUAACAUGAACUUUACUUUCAAUCUUUUUUAUAUUCUUGCAUAUUGUUUGCAUUUUGUAGUUUCUUGCACAUUCAAAUUUCCUUUAAAUGCAUAAAGAUCCGCAGUCUAUACAUACAACAGAAUGUCUCUUGCAAUAUUCUCGAUUGCAACAUCUUCCUUAUAGGACAGAAAAUUAAAUUAGUUCUAUUUCGUAGCCAUUGAUUUUCGUCUAAUUUUUGUUCGUCGAGCCUCUAAAAUAUUGGCGAGCACUGGGUAAACACCCAGUAUACAGGGUGUCCCGUAACUGGUGGUACAAGCGAGUAGGGAGCGAUUCUACGUAAAAAUUUGAAUCGAACAUGUAGAAUGAAAUUUGUUCACGUGACGGUUUAUUUUCGAAAAAAGAAAUAAGUUUGAAAACUUGUCGAGUACGCGUGUACUUGAACCAGUUUCAGCUCGACGGAUGUCAUUCUAGAUCAUAAGCAUAAGAAAAAUGUAAAAUCAAUGUAAGAGAUAUCAUGUUGACAAUGUUUGUAAACAUCCCAUGAAGCAGUAAGAAAGUAAAAUCCAUCGAACUGAAUCCGAAUCAAGUACACGCGUACUCGACAAAAUUUCAAAGUUACUUCUUUCGAAAAUAAAGCGUCACACGGCAAAAAUUUUAUUCUGCAUUUUCGAUUCAAUUUUUCGCGUAGACUCACCUCCCACUCGCUUGUACCGCCAAUUACGGUACACCUUGUAUAAAUACCGCGAUGGCUUCAAUUAGAGAAAGACAGUUCGUCGAGGUAAUUAGAAUGUGGAAGAAGAAGUUUCCUGGCCGUGGUGGAGGAAAAACGGAACAGCGAGGAAUGACGGAGUCAGUGGAGGAGUCCCAGGUUGGGCCAGGCAGACGUGAAGCCUGAGGAUACGGGGGUGUUAAGCCCUGAAUCCUGAAAAGUGUUCCAGAGCUUACUCGGCUAGUGUUACCCCCCGCCACCUACGUUCUCUUUCUCUGGCUCCUCGUCGCCGUUGUUCGCUCGAGCAGAGGGAACAAUCGGCAGGGGCGUAAGGUUGGCUCUAUGCCUCCUCAUCUUCAUCCGCUUCUCGCAUUCCACCCUUAUUACGAACCGAGCUCCUUCGCUAACGAAACUACCUCCCUCUUCGAAGUCUCAAAUUAUAGGAGAGGGUUGAACCGUGCCAAUCGAUUAUUAAUCGACGUACGAUGAUCGUACGUGGAUCGAUACAUUUCCCUUGGUCAUGUACUCCUGCAACUAUGUGCUAUGCAACUCUUGUAACGAAUUUAUCAAUAGAAGGACGACUCGAUUGCCCGCGUCUUUUACAUCGAAUCUUUCGCGAUCCCCUCGAAUCGUACAGUCCCAAUGAUCGCACCAUUUAUUUUGAGAAGCACUAUGCUAAUCAACGAAAGACGAGUUGAUAAUUAAUAACUACAUCAAGAAACGUUAGAGCUUUCUCUUGGACGCUUUCGCCUAGCACCGAUGUACCUUACCACGCGUCUCCGGCGUUCAACCACUCUCCACGAAAUCUUAGAAAAAUCUUCAGGGCACGUUACUCUCUUACGAUCUACUUACGCUGACAAUGGAACCCAGCUCGAUUCUCGCCCAGCGACUACGUCUCUCGUGUCUUUUAUCACAUGACCUCCUUCGUGGGAAGCCGCAAAAGUUCGGAGACAGUCUGCACUGAUAAUAUCCCCGUUACCC